GAUGAACGCUGGCGGCGUGCCUAAUACAUGCAAGUCGAGCGAAUGGAUUAAGAGCUUGCUCUUAUGAAGUUAGCGGCGGACGGGUGAGUAACACGUGGGUAACCUGCCCAUAAGACUGGGAUAACUCCGGGAAACCGGGGCUAAUACCGGAUAACAUUUUGAACCGCAUGGUUCGAAAUUGAAAGGCGGCUUCGGCUGUCACUUAUGGAUGGACCCGCGUCGCAUUAGCUAGUUGGUGAGGUAACGGCUCACCAAGGCAACGAUGGGUAGCCGACCUGCGAGGGUGAGCGGCCACCCGGGGACGGAGACACGGCCCAGACUCCUACGGGAGGCAGCAGUAGGGAAUCUUCCGCAAUGGACGAAAGUCUGACGGAGCAACGCCGCGUGAGUGAUGAAGGCUUUCGGGUCGUAAAACUCUGUUGUUAGGGAAGAACAAGUGCUAGUUGAAUAAGCUGGCACCUUGACGGUACCUAACCAGAAAGCCACGGCUAACUACGUGCCAGCCGCCGCAGUAA
RNAcentral lists this ribosomal RNA (515 nucleotides) under uncultured bacterium. RNAcentral's name for it is "partial 16S ribosomal RNA". It matches the Rfam family "Bacterial small subunit ribosomal RNA", at positions 28 to 523 of the family's 1533-position model. The record is from RNAcentral.